This 402-nucleotide ribosomal RNA is filed under the name bacterium. RNAcentral's name for it is "partial 16S ribosomal RNA". It matches the Rfam family "Bacterial small subunit ribosomal RNA", at positions 355 to 776 of the family's 1533-position model. The record is from RNAcentral.
UGGGGAAUUUUGCACAAUGGGGGAAACCCUGAUGCAGCGACGCCGCGUGAUUUAGAAGGCCUUCGGGUUGUAAAAAUCUUUUCUAUGGGAAGAAAAUGACAGUAUCAUAGGAAUAAGGACCGGCUAAUUACGUGCCAGCAGCCGCGGUAAUACGUAAGGUCCGAGCGUUGUCCGGAAUCAUUGGGCGUAAAGGGUACGUAGGCGGGUAAGCAAGUUAGAAGUGAAAUCAUAUAGCUCAACUAUAGUAAGCUUUUAAAACUGCUCAUCUUGAGGUAUGGAAGGGAAAGUGGAAUUCCUAGUGUGGCGGUGAAAUGCGCAGAUAUUAGGAGGAAUACCGGUGGCGAGGGCGACUUUCUGGCCAUAACCUGACGCUGAGGUACGAAAGAGUGGGUAGCAAACAGG